AGUUGUCUCUUCUCUAUAAGCGUUCGAGUUCCCUGGAAGCCUCUAGGAGGGAGUUAGGGUUUGGAACGCGAAGAGCACCGCACUUACGGCGGUGUCCGGAUCUUCCCCUCGGACCUUGAAAAUCCGGGCGAGGGCCACGAGGAACACCGCGCCGGCUCGUACCCAUAUCCGCAGCAGGUCUCCAAGGUGAAUAGCCUCUAGUCGAUAGAAUAAUGUAGGUAAGGGAAGUCGGCAAACCCGAUCUGUAACUUCGGGAUAAGGAUUGGCUCUGAGGAUCGUGGCGCGCCGGGCUUGGUCGGGAAGUGGAGCGGUGCCAACGUGCCGGGCCUGGGCGAGGUGAAGGGCGCUUGCCGCCUGGACCCUAGCUCGGUCCCGUGCCUUGGCCACCCACGGACCUU
RNAcentral lists this ribosomal RNA (398 nucleotides) under Spartocera fusca. RNAcentral's name for it is "partial large subunit ribosomal RNA". It matches the Rfam family "Eukaryotic large subunit ribosomal RNA", at positions 1688 to 2084 of the family's 3401-position model. The record is from RNAcentral. Lineage: Eukaryota; Metazoa; Arthropoda; Insecta; Hemiptera; Coreidae.